Picea glauca (white spruce) is the source of this 91-nucleotide non-coding RNA. The record is from Rfam. NCBI's taxonomy places the organism in Eukaryota, Viridiplantae, Streptophyta, Pinopsida, Pinales, Pinaceae.
GGGUCGAUACUUUCAAAUUAAUAAUGGCCUUGAAUCUUUAAUACAGGACGGACUCCCGCAACCAACGCUGGUUCAAAUCCAGCUCGACCCA